This 620-nucleotide ribosomal RNA is filed under the name uncultured Bacillus sp. Its description in RNAcentral is "bacterial SSU rRNA". It matches the Rfam family "Bacterial small subunit ribosomal RNA", at positions 428 to 1036 of the family's 1533-position model. Lineage: Bacteria; Bacillati; Bacillota; Bacilli; Caryophanales; Bacillaceae. The record is from RNAcentral.
AAGCUCUGUUGUUAGGGAAGAACAAGUACCGUUUGAAUAAGGCGGUACCUUGACGGUACCUAACGAGAAAGCCACGGCUAACUACGUGCCAGCAGCCGCGGUAAUACGUAGGUGGCAAGCGUUGUCCGGAAUUAUUGGGCGUAAAGCGCGCGCAGGCGGUCCUUUAAGUCUGAUGUGAAAGCCCACGGCUCAACCGUGGAGGGUCAUUGGAAACUGGGGGACUUGAGUACAGAAGAGGAGAGUGGAAUUCCACGUGUAGCGGUGAAAUGCGUAGAGAUGUGGAGGAACACCAGUGGCGAAGGCGGCUCUCUGGUCUGUAACUGACGCUGAGGCGCGAAAGCGUGGGUAGCGAACAGGAUUAGAUACCCUGGUAGCCCACGCCGUAAACGAUGAGUGCUAAGUGUUAGAGGGUUUCCGCCCUUUAGUGCUGCAGCAAACGCAUUAAGCACUCCGCCUGGGGAGUACGGCCGCAAGGCUGAAACUCAAAGGAAUUGACGGGGGCCCGCACAAGCGGUGGAGCAUGUGGUUUAAUUCGAAGCAACGCGAAGAACCUUACCAGGUCUUGACAUCCUCUGCCACUCCUAGAGAUAGGACGUUCCCCUUCGGGGGACAGAGUGACA